GGCAGAAUGAUAUGCUUUGGUUGUGUUCCCACCCAAAUCUCAUCUUGAAUUCCCACAUGUUGUGGGAGGGACCUGGUGGGAAGUAAUUGAGUCAUGGGGGCAGGUCUUUCCCAUGCUGUUCUCAUGAUAGUGAAUACGUCUCACAAUGUCUGAUGGUUUUAGAAAGGGUAGUUUCCCUGCAGAAGCUCUCUCUUUGCCUGCUGCCAUCCAGGUGAGACAUGACUUGCUUUUUCUUGCCUUCCAACAUGAUUGUGAGGCUUCCUCAGCUACGUGGAAACAUCCUUCUUAGAAAUUCCUAAGGCUCAAUGCUGUGUGGAAGAUUCUGAGAAAGAAAAUAGUUUCCGAUCUUUGGGAUUCCCGAGAUGGUCCAAUCUGCAAAAAGUUCAUUGCCAUUUCCAUCAAGGACACUGAGAACAAGAGUCUUAUCUGGAUUGGAUCCUGGGAAUUGAGAAGCUUCAGCAGGGCUUCCGCUGGGACUAGGAUCAGGAUGUGGACACCCCCAACCUGGACCAUCUGGCCGGGGAGGGCGUCAAGGCCAAGUACCUCAUGCCGCCCCUUGUCACAAUGACCUCCCCGUCCCACUUCACUGCCAUCCCAGGCAGAGAGCUGAUCAAAACAGCAAAAGCAAAGCAGUGCCCCUGGCCCAGUUCUGAAGCCAACCUUCCUUAAUCACCCAGACCCAUCACUGGUUAGGACUUGCUGUGGAUUCUCAGGUGAUUCCAUCUCAGGAUACAGGGACUGAGACGGUGUAUGCAACAUCUCAGACCCAGAAACCGUUGAUUCUGCCUAAAAACAGAGCAAUAACCACAUCCCAUCCUCUUGAUUUAAAUGAAAGGUUAUGGGGGAAUAAAAGAUGAA
RNAcentral lists this long non-coding RNA (858 nucleotides) under Pan troglodytes (chimpanzee). RNAcentral's name for it is "long non-coding RNA NONPTRT012104". The record is from RNAcentral. Lineage: Eukaryota; Metazoa; Chordata; Mammalia; Primates; Hominidae.